This is a non-coding RNA of Oryza sativa Japonica Group (Japanese rice), 5027 nucleotides long. NCBI's taxonomy places the organism in Eukaryota, Viridiplantae, Streptophyta, Magnoliopsida, Poales, Poaceae. The record is from RefSeq and is a predicted model, not a curated record.
UUCCUGUUAUAAAUACGGGGGUCCACAUUUCUACGAUGAGUUUACAGGAGUUGAUAGGCGGCCUUUUCCAGUACAUACAACAAAUAAAUUGUGCCGAAACCUUGGAGUAAGCCACUUCUAUAUAAUGUAUCUACCCUAUAGUUCAAACAUGCACUAACUUAUUUUUUUAUUGAUUGACAGGAAUAUAUGGGUGCAAAGUUCAUGGCCGCACACCAUAAAAUUAAGUCUCAAAACACUUCAAUCAGUACUAAAGGAUGGACCACUUGACCGUGAUUGCUUCAACAUGGCCAUACGCAAGUUCAUGUAUGAAAACAUCCGGUCGCUUCACAAAACCAGCUAAGCAAUAACAAAGCAUUGCCUGGACUUACAAUUUUGGGUAAGUUUUUAUAAUCUACCCAAUAUUGAUUCUUUUGCUCAUAUUUUAAACAAUUAUUGUACAUCAUAUAGACUGCUACUGGAUUUGGUAUAAGUCCAAUGUUCCAUAAGGAUAUAGAUCUUGCGGGGUCGGUUGGUAGCUGGUCGAAAAUCCAUUAUGAAGUUGCAAAAUGCAAAUUGUAUGUGCUGUUGGAAGCUAUAUCUUGGUCAUACUGGACCAAGAAAGCAGAACACUUUAUCUACUAGACCCUAAUCCACUAAAUCCAAUGUAUGAGAACAACCCAACUAUGACAUAUACCAAAAAAUUGUUAAACGUUACCAACUAUUUCAACGGAGCCAUGCGUGUGGCAUGUCCUGGCUCUAGGUGGACUGAGGAUAUCGACUUGUGGGGCCAUAUGUAUGUCACAAAUCCGGUGGCUAACUCGUAAGUUUUCUUGUAUAAUCUUGUUUGAUCUUAUAAAUUAUUUUUGUCUAACGCAUGGUGCCUAACUAUUCAAAUUUCAUAGGAAUUUGUCGGGUUGUCUCGUACAUCUGUUCAUGCGAUCCUGGAAAGAUGGAGCACUUCAUUUGCCGUCUUUUAAGGUCAUUCCGACUAGCAUUGGCAUUUAGAAUAUUAUAUUUUAUUUUAUAAUACAGUCAUUUAUUUUAUAAACAUAUGCAUUUGCAGGAUGUUGAUGAGCUAAGGAAACAAUUUUUGCUACAUAUACUGAUGUAUGAGCAAAAUGAGUGCACAAGCAACAUUCCUAGCGGCGCACGAGAUUUUCUUCACUGUAUCGCAAAUGCAAAACAUUAGAAUAGUUAUUCUUUACCUAUGGGGUGUAUUUUAUACAUAACAAAUGCUUUAUUUAAAUAAUGGAAUAACUCUACACUUCUCUAACAUAUUUUUCUGCCCGCAACAAAUAAUGGAAUAACUCUAUACUUCUCUAACAUAUUUUUAUGCGUAUAUUGCCUUUUAUAUUGUGUAGUGUGUACAUAGGGUAUAUUAUAUAUAAUUAAGUCUUGUAAAGUUUUACUGUGCCCACGUAAUAUCAUAGUACUGCACCUUACAUGAAAUAUAUUAAAUGUACUAUAUGAUUUAAUUAAAGUUCAAAUGCACAGAUCAUAUAAAAAUAUUUUUUGGUAACGUGAAAUUUUUUUAAAGAUACAGUUAAAUAUAAUUGCACCGUAGCGUUUAGCACGGGCAUAUUACUAGUACUAUUGGCUGAACUAAUUCUAAGUGCCAUACACAUGAUCCUAAAAAUGGAUAUCAUGCACUUGGGAAAGUUUCUCAUUUUGAUUCACUGGGUCCAUAUACAUGUAUCUAUGAUUGAACUCAUUCUAAUUGCCAUACACUUGGGAAAGUUUCUCAUUUUGAUUAAUGGGAUCCAUCUACAUGUAUCUAUUACUGAACUCAUUCUAAUUGCCAUUAGAGCCAUUAGACGUGAUGUCGUUAUCACAGAGUAUUGUAGACAUUAACAUAUGAGCAAUGCAGGCUGAAGAGACGAUGGUCUGGGACAGACUUGCUUGUGAAUAAUCCCAAAUUCGCUGGAGCAAUUGAGCAAGCCAUAAGAAACACAUUUACAACGUCGACAGGAAUCAUCUGUCAACCGCACGAGGGGCAACUAUUUGAUUCGCCGGCAGAAGCCUAUCAAUUUUACAACUUGCAUGCUUGGGAGUCAGGGUUAAGUAUUCGUUUAGGGCAAAGCCGGAAGAUCGAUCCAAUGGAGUGCUAUACAUGCAGGGAGUUUGAAUGCCAGCUAUCUGUCGGUGAACACAAAUCAUUAAGCAUAAUAGUUUUGUCUUUUUUUUUAUCGCGAAUCCUUUCAUGGAAUAUGUUCGUGUUCUGCAUAAAAAGGUCAAUUAGGCCUAGAGGGGAGGGGGGGUGAAUAGGCUAAUUUAAAAACUUAAGUAAAGCGGAAGCAGUAAUUUUCAGAACUAGGCUGGGAAUUUUCGGAACUUCCGAAAGGAUUUUCGGAACUUCCGAAAAUGCACAGAGCAGCGCACACAAAAAGAAAUAUCUAGAUCUAGAAGUCUACCACAUGUAAUCAAAGGCACAUACAACAACUAGACCAAUAGCGGCACAUGCAAGCAAAGUUAGAGGAGAGGGAUGAAGAGAUAUCACCAAGGUGAAGCUUGCAAACUUGUUCCCGGAGUUCAAAUCCUUGAGGGGAUUCUACUCUCCGUUGAGGAGCUCACUAAGAGCCAGGUCUUAGCUAAUCCUUUCCUCGAGAGGUUACGCUAAGCACUCCUCCUACCACUAAGAGGUAUCUCUUCCCUAGCUUGCGGAGGCGAGAUCCGGCCUUCAUAAUCUUCUCCCGGCUAACCACAAGUAGAUCGGUGGCUCGGGAGUGACACCUGGCCGUCUAGGAGUCCUCAACCUCCAAGAGUAAAAGAUGAUGCAAAGAAUUCCCGGAGAUGAUGCAAGUGCUCACAAAUCUUCACAAAGACCACAAGAAGCACCCACACAAACUCGAAUCCACACUCUCACACACACCAAAUCCGAAUCAAACACGGGUGGAGAGAUGAAUCGAGGAAGCAAGGCUCAAAUGAACUAGAGAGAGAGCAAGCCAAGGGCACAAAUAAUUGGAAUGAAACUAGCAGCCCUCACAAGUGAGGGGAGGUGGGUAUUUAUACCCACAGCACAAAUCUGCCCGUUGGAGUGCAAUAAAAGUAAUUUUCGGAACUUCGGAAACAAUUUUCGGAACUUCCGAAAAUUCCAGAUCUGAGAAAUAAUCAAAGUCAACGCACUUUUCGGAACUUCCAAAAAACGUUUUCGCAACUUCCGAAAAUUUCCAGAACGCUUAUGUGUAUUUUCGGAACUUUCGAAAAUCAUUUUCGGAACUUCCGAGAAUUUCCAGAGAGCUAUCAAACGGUUCUGUGUAUUUUCGGAGCUUCUGAAAAUUUCCAGAACGCUCCAAAAGAGAAAUGCUUUGAAGAAAAAUUGAUUUUGAGCACACGCAUCACUCCUUGUAUGUCUAUGCAUCAUCCCCCUUAAUAGUACGGCUUUCCUACGACACAAUGCGAGGAAAAAGAUACAAUAUACCAUUUGAUCAUUGCCGCAUUGCAUCGCGAUGUCGCAUUCACAGGAUAUGCAUUGUAUUACAACACGUUGAGGACUUAACAACCUUCACAUUUGCUUGAAUAAAAAUGUUAGUCCUCUCUAAUCGCAUUGUAAUCAAUUAUCAAAAUCAUUAGGGACCUAGAUGCACUUUCAAUCUCCCCAUUUUUGGUGAUUGAUGACAAUUCGAUUAAAUCACAAGAGAGAAUGAUAAUAAUAGAUGAUUUUGGUGCAAAUGUUUAGUGAAAUCUCCCCCUAAGAGUGUGCAUAAAAGCAAGUGGAGAGCUCCCCCUAAAUCUUUGCAUCCACAUUGAAACUCACAAAAGAACAAGUAUCAUCACAAUAUAUGCAUGAAGGAUCAUUUCAUCAUAUCAAAAUCGCAUCUCAAACAAAAUAAUCAUUUCAUCUCAACACCAUCACAACAUAGAGAGAAUAGACCAUUGCAACAAAUACAUCAUCAUCUCAUCACAACCACAAUAUAGAAUAAAUGAGACAUGACAUCACAUUUAAACAUAAGACACAAUAAUAUUGAAACAACCCGGAAUUUUAAGCUAUUUAAAAAAAUAAAAAUUAUGUGACAUAUAUCAUUAAUUAAUCAGUUAACUAGCAAAAUUGUUGGAAACAAGAAUAAGCCACUCAAAAUUUAUAACAUUCGCAUCCGUUGAAGUAAAACAAAUAAAUAAUGUCCAAUAUACCACCACAAUAUACUAAUAAUAAUAACAUGGAAAUAUUAUACGAACAAACAUCACUAUAAACAGUCAUCAUGUAUACAUAAACUUACACUAAUAAUACAAUACAUCAUAUAUUUGAAUAUACGGUUGCACAGGACAUACAUAGCUUGACCCCUUUUAUGCACAAAAGGUAAUAUGUAAAUAAAUGUUGCCGUCAGACCCAUACACAAAGUGGUGUAUAUUCAACCGUUCACUGAGAUACCUAGAUCACCUAGAUCAGCUAAUACCGUCUGGCACCCCUCACUUAAGUCGGGUUCGUCAUCCGGCUAAUUAACACAAAGAAGCCGCACAUCUCAUAUAAAGAAUUAAUCUCACCAAAGGGACCUCAAUUCACCAGCAGUAUUAAUUAUCCACCAAUCACAUAGCUCCACAUAGGAAGCUUCACACAAGACCACAAAGAUAGUAGCACAACUCCAUCCACUUUGGUCAAGACUCUAUCUCACCUUGGUCAAGCACUCAAAGCAUGACCACAGCCAUGGCAGCAGAUGCAUGCAUAUGAGCUCCAACCAAUUAGUGAGGAGUGAGCAGCCCAGGAGAGGAGGAGGAGAGAAGUAGGGAGUGAGGAGCAAACAAAUCAGUGAAAUGCAAGAUUGCGCCCCAUCCAUUGCAAGCACCAAAUCUUGAAUCCCCUAUAAUUAGUAGCCAAAUAGUUCUUGGCCAAAUACUCAUACCAUCACUAUGUCGGCUAGGAAGAGGAGAAGAGAAAUCAGCAAGGAGGGAAUGUGAUUUACCCAAGGAAGAGGAAAGGCCAAUGCAUCGGCGAGGAUGAACACGGGAGCACAGCCAUGGACGAACUUGUCACCUAGGCAAAGGAAUGAGUAGAAUGAUAAUUGGGUCAAUCGGCAGUGCUACAUAAUUUCGAUUCAACUACAGAAACUCAGGCA